GACGAACGCUGGCGGCGUGCCUAAUACAUGCAAGUUGAGCGCUGAAGGUUGGUACUUGUACCAACUGGAUGAGCAGCGAACGGGUGAGUAACGCGUGGGGAAUCUGCCUUUGAGCGGGGGACAACAUUUGGAAACGAAUGCUAAUACCGCAUAAAAACUUUAAACACAAGUUUUAAGUUUGAAAGAUGCAAUUGCAUCACUCAAAGAUGAUCCCGCGUUGUAUUAGCUAGUUGGUGAGGUAAAGGCUCACCAAGGCGAUGAUACAUAGCCGACCUGAGAGGGUGAUCGGCCCCAUUGGGACUGAGACACGGCCCAAACUCCUACGGGAGGCAGCAGUAGGGAAUCUUCGGCAAUGGACGAAAGUCUGACCGAGCAACGCCGCGUGAGUGAAGAAGGUUUUCGGAUCGUAAAACUCUGUUGGUAGAGAAGAACGUUGGUGAGAGUGGAAAGCUCGUCAAGUGACGGUAACUACCCAGAAAGGGACGGCUAACUACGUG
Molecule: ribosomal RNA, 497 nt
Filed under: uncultured bacterium
Lineage: Bacteria
Description: partial 16S ribosomal RNA
Rfam family: Bacterial small subunit ribosomal RNA
Source: RNAcentral